UUAGUGGCGCACGGGUGCGUAACGCGUGGGAAUCUGCCCUUUGGUUCGGAAUAACAGCUGGAAACGGCUGCUAAUACCGGAUGAUGACGAAAGUCCAAAGAUUUAUCGCCAGAGGAUGAGCCCGCGUUGGAUUAGGUAGUUGGUGGGGUAAAGGCCUACCAAGCCGACGAUCCAUAGCUGGUCUGAGAGGAUGAUCAGCCACACUGGGACUGAAACACGGCCCAGACUCCUACGGGAGGCAGCAGUGGGGAAUAUUGGACAAUGGGCGAAAGCCUGAUCCAGCAAUGCCGCGUGAGUGAUGAAGGCCCUAGGGUUGUAAAGCUCUUUUACCCGGGAAGAUAAUGACUGUACCGGGAGAAUAAGCCCCGGCUAACUCCGUGCCAGCAGCCGCGGUAAUACGGAGGGGGCUAGCGUUGUUCGGAAUUACUGGGCGUAAAGCGCACGUAGGCGGCUUUGUAAGUCAGAGGUGAAAGCCUGGAGCUCAACUCCAGAACUGCCUUUGAGACUGCAUCGCUUGAAUCCAGGAGAGGUCAGUGGAAUUCCGAGUGUAGAGGUGAAAUUCGUAGAUAUUCGGAAGAACACCAGUGGCGAAGGCGGCUGACUGGACUGGUAUUGACGCUGAGGUGCGAAAGCGUGCGGAGCAAACAGGAUUAGAUACCCUGGUAGUCCACGCC
RNAcentral lists this ribosomal RNA (674 nucleotides) under Sphingomonas yabuuchiae. Its description in RNAcentral is "bacterial SSU rRNA". It matches the Rfam family "Bacterial small subunit ribosomal RNA", at positions 92 to 801 of the family's 1533-position model. The record is from RNAcentral. Lineage: Bacteria; Pseudomonadati; Pseudomonadota; Alphaproteobacteria; Sphingomonadales; Sphingomonadaceae.